Syzygium oleosum is the source of this 659-nucleotide long non-coding RNA. RefSeq lists it as uncharacterized. The transcript has 2 exons. Lineage: Eukaryota; Viridiplantae; Streptophyta; Magnoliopsida; Myrtales; Myrtaceae. The record is from RefSeq and is a predicted model, not a curated record.
CUUCAUUCCGCCAUCAAGUCAAGCUCUUCAGGUGUUGUGUUCUGUGAAAAAAGGCUUGAAGAAUGAGGGGAGUGAUGCUUGUGUUGGUCCUGUCCAUGAUGCUGAGCACUUGCUUGGCCAUGAACAAAAGGGCUCAUUUCAUGGUUACCAACCACGAGAAGCGGAUACGGUAUCUGGAAAUGGAAAAGAACGAUGACGGGUUCGAGGACACAACCUCAGAAGACAUCCCGCACCAUGUCAUUCCUAGAAAUAAGUACACCCCACCCACGGGAAGUGGCGAUAGUACAGGAAAUCCUCGUGGAGGCCAAAAUCUACCCUAAGUUCUGGUCUAAGACCCCGCUGGUAUGAUAAAGCUGUAGUGCCAGUAGAGUGUGUGCGCAUUGUAUGAGCUAUGUACGCUUGGGAGUGUAUGCUGCAUCAUUUGUUAUGUUGGUAAAAAGGGUGUCAGCUUUUACAAGUUAUGUGAAAUAGAAGAGAGUUCGCAGUUACUAAAUUCUGGUGCAGUUGUAAGCAUCCUUGGUUUUGAUGCAUGAAAUAAGAGCAACAGAGACUGUGGUUUGCAACUAUAAGCAACACAUUGUUUAUUUAUGUGAACUAUACAUGCACAAUGUAUUUACUGAUAAUAUUUGUCGCCGUUAAUAUUUAUUUUCCUUUCACAA